Long non-coding RNA from Ceratitis capitata (Mediterranean fruit fly), 324 nucleotides. RefSeq lists it as uncharacterized. Lineage: Eukaryota; Metazoa; Arthropoda; Insecta; Diptera; Tephritidae. The transcript has 3 exons. The record is from RefSeq and is a predicted model, not a curated record.
UCAUGUUGUGCACUCAUAAUUUUUUAAAACAAAAAAAUUUCGAUUGUGAGCGCAUAAUUUGAGAACCGCUGAAUUGUAAGUAAAAGGUAAAAAUAUAUAGUUAUACAACAAACCUUAAUCAUUGGUUUUGUUAAGUGUGAAAAGAAGAGAGAAAUAUCGUAAAUAUUGUGCUCAACGAUUGUUAAGAGAAUUGUUUGAGAACCGCUGAGAUAAACAAAUGUUGGAAAUGGAGGGACUGGAAUGCUAACCAUACCGCUGUCGCGGCCGUCUGUACUACCAGGACAAGAAUUGUAGAUGCAAAAUGUCACGCCGUGGAGCGCUUUA